RNAcentral lists this ribosomal RNA (597 nucleotides) under uncultured bacterium. RNAcentral describes it as "bacterial SSU rRNA". It matches the Rfam family "Bacterial small subunit ribosomal RNA", at positions 112 to 704 of the family's 1533-position model. The record is from RNAcentral.
AAUGCUUAGGAAUCUGCCUAUUAGUGGGGGACAACAUUCCGAAAGGAAUGCUAAUACCGCAUACGCCCUACGGGGGAAAGCAGGGGAUCUUCGGACCUUGCGCUAAUAGAUGAGCCUAAGUCAGAUUAGCUAGUUGGUGGGGUAAAGGCCUACCAAGGCGACGAUCUGUAGCGGGUCUGAGAGGAUGAGCCGCCACACUGGGACUGAGACACGGCCCAGACUCCUACGGGAGGCAGCAGUGGGGAAUAUUGGACAAUGGGCGAAAGCCUGAUCCAGCCAUGCCGCGUGUGUGAAGAAGGCCUUUUGGUUGUAAAGCACUUUAAGCGAGGAGGAGGCUACUGAGAUUAAUACUCUUGGAUAGUGGACGUUACUCGCAGAAUAAGCACCGGCUAACUCUGUGCCAGCAGCCGCGGUAAUACAGAGGGUGCGAGCGUUAAUCGGAUUUACUGGGCGUAAAGCGCGCGUAGGCGGCUUUUUAAGUCGGAUGUGAAAUCCCUGAGCUUAACUUAGGAAUUGCAUUCGAUACUGGGAAGCUAGAGUAUGGGAGAGGAUGGUAGAAUUCCAGGUGUAGCGGUGAAAUGCGUAGAGAUCUGGAGG